UGAGUGCUAGGUGUUAGGGGUUUCGAUACCCUUGGUGCCGAAGUCAACACAGUAAGCACUCCGCCUGGGGAGUACGGUCGCAAGACUGAAACUCAAAGGAAUUGACGGGGACCCGCACAAGCAGUGGAGUAUGUGGUUUAAUUCGAAGCAACGCGAAGAACCUUACCAGGUCUUGACAUCCCCCUGAAUAUCCCAGAGAUGGGGUAGGCCUUCGGGACAGGGGAGACAGGUGGUGCAUGGCUGUCGUCAG
RNAcentral lists this ribosomal RNA (250 nucleotides) under uncultured bacterium. RNAcentral describes it as "partial 16S ribosomal RNA". It matches the Rfam family "Bacterial small subunit ribosomal RNA", at positions 810 to 1058 of the family's 1533-position model. The record is from RNAcentral.